GCCUAUGGUACAUCUGUACAUAGCGGGCGAUCUGCGCAUACUACACUAUAUUAAACUAAAUUAUUAUCUUCAAAAGCAAAGCAAUGGGUUUCUUCCUUGUUGAUCUUGAAUUGCUGCUUGCUGGAACCGUUAAACCCAAAGCUUCGAUGUGAUAUUUUAUUGAAAUUUCAAGUUGAAAAUUAGCUUUCAUAGUUUAGUAAUAUACUAAAAAACAUUUUGGCUUUUUAUGUGGUUAACAUAACAACAUAGUGCAAUAAGGUCCACCUUGUAUGAUGUGACUAUCUUAUUCAAUAUUUCUGAUUUUGAGAAAAGCAUUUACCAAUCAUAUCAAACGUCCACCUUGUAUGAUGUGACUAUCUUCUUAUUCAAUAUUUGUGGUUUUGAGGAAAGCAUUUGCCCAUCAUAUCAAUUAUCAGGCUACUGAGGACAGUGGAUAAAAUUGAUAUAUGGUGUUUUGUUACCAUGAUAUGGAGGGUAAUGGUGGAUGAGUGUGGGAUGACACUAACAGGACAAUAAGAAUCGCGUUUGAGAGAACUGAAAUGCAUUCUAAGCUAGUAUUUCAUCUUAGCCAAGUAUUCAAGUUUAUGAAACUACUGUCUGUAAGACAGGUAUUACGAUGCAAGCAAAUACAGUUGUAGCAAAUAAUAUUAUAUCUUUGAUAAAUAAAAUUAAUUUGAAUUUA
Long non-coding RNA from Nilaparvata lugens (brown planthopper), 682 nucleotides. RefSeq lists it as uncharacterized. The record is from RefSeq and is a predicted model, not a curated record. The transcript is spliced from 4 exons. NCBI's taxonomy places the organism in Eukaryota, Metazoa, Arthropoda, Insecta, Hemiptera, Delphacidae.